UGGGGAAUUUUGGACAAUGGGCGAAAGCCUGAUCCAGCAAUGCCGCGUGUGUGAAGAAGGCCUUCGGGUUGUAAAGCACUUUUGUCCGGAAAGAAAUCCUUGGCUCUAAUACAGUCGGGGGAUGACGGUACCGGAAGAAUAAGCACCGGCUAACUACGUGCCAGCAGCCGCGGUAAUACGUAGGGUGCAAGCGUUAAUCGGAAUUACUGGGCGUAAAGCGUGCGCAGGCGGUUUGCUAAGACCGAUGUGAAAUCCCCGGGCUCAACCUGGGAACUGCAUUGGUGACUGGCAGGCUAGAGUAUGGCAGAGGGGGGUAGAAUUCCACGUGUAGCAGUGAAAUGCGUAGAGAUGUGGAGGAAUACCGAUGGCGAAGGCAGCCCCCUGGGCCAAUACUGACGCUCAUGCACGAAAGCGUGGGGAGCAAACAGGAUUAGAUACCCUGGUAGUCCACGCCCUAAACGAUGUCAACUAGUUGUUGGGGAUUCAUUCCUUAGUAACGUAGCUAACGCGUGAAGUUGACCGCUGGGAGUACGGUCGUCAAAGAUUCAAAACUCAAAGGAAUUGACGGGGUCAUAGCUGUUUCCU
RNAcentral lists this ribosomal RNA (585 nucleotides) under uncultured bacterium. Its description in RNAcentral is "partial 16S ribosomal RNA". It matches the Rfam family "Bacterial small subunit ribosomal RNA", at positions 355 to 1375 of the family's 1533-position model. The record is from RNAcentral.